RNAcentral lists this non-coding RNA (29 nucleotides) under Cricetulus griseus (Chinese hamster). Lineage: Eukaryota; Metazoa; Chordata; Mammalia; Rodentia; Cricetidae. The record is from RNAcentral.
AGGGGCUGGAGAGAUGGCUCAGAGGGUAA